Molecule: ribosomal RNA, 467 nt
Filed under: uncultured bacterium
Lineage: Bacteria
Description: partial 16S ribosomal RNA
Rfam family: Bacterial small subunit ribosomal RNA
Source: RNAcentral
GACGAACGCUGGCGGCGUGCUUAACACAUGCAAGUCGAACGGAAAGGCCUCUUUCGGGGGGUACUCGAGUGGCGAACGGGUGAGUAACACGUGAGUAACCUGCCCUUGACUUUGGGAUAACUUCAGGAAACUGGGGCUAAUACCGGAUAGGAGCUCCUGCUGCAUGGUGGGGGUUGGAAAGUUUCGGCGGUUGGGGAUGGACUCGCGGCUUAUCAGCUUGUUGGUGGGGUAGUGGCUUUCCAAGGCUUUGACGGGUAGCCGGCCUGAGAGGGUGACCGGCCACAUUGGGACUGAGAUACGGCCCAGACUCCUACGGGAGGCAGCAGUGGGGAAUAUUGCACAAUGGGUGGAAGCCUGAUGCAGCAACGCCGUGUGCGGGAUGACGGCCUUCGGGUUGUAAACCGCUUUCGCUCAUGACGAAGCUUUGUGUGACGGUAGUGGGUAAAGAAGCACCGGCUAACUACGUG